RNAcentral lists this small nucleolar RNA (102 nucleotides) under Ictidomys tridecemlineatus (thirteen-lined ground squirrel). RNAcentral's name for it is "Spermophilus tridecemlineatus (thirteen-lined ground squirrel) Small nucleolar RNA U13". It matches the Rfam family "Small nucleolar RNA U13". Lineage: Eukaryota; Metazoa; Chordata; Mammalia; Rodentia; Sciuridae. The record is from Rfam by way of RNAcentral.
AUCCUUCGGUUCAUAAGCGUGAUGAUUGGGUGUUCACGCUCUUGUGUGAGAUGUGCCUCCCUCUAAACCUUGUUAUGACAUCGGCACUCCUCACCGUGGAUU